UUGCACCUUACUCGGCUGCCUCACCCCCACCCCCUUUCCUCUUCUUCACUCUGCUCACUCGAGCAUACAGACCCGUCAAUCACCUGAGCCUUGCACAAAUUCGUGCAAGGUCAUGAACCCAUCAAGAAAUCAUCUCAUCCGUUUUUCCUUAUUUGCGAUUCUCGCUUAAUAUUCCCUUUCCAAUCACAAAUUCAAAUCGCCUAAAUUCUGAAAACCUAACCUCAGAGAUGAAACUUCAAAUCGUCAUUGAUUUUUCAAAUCCAUGGCAUGUAUUGUUAUUCUUUUUGUUCCUGCACUCCCAGUCCCGUCGUUCUUUCCAUUUUCACCUUUCAAUUUCAAAACACUAGUCGAAGAAAUCAAAGACCAAAGGUGAAACUUCAAACUCGUUUGUUCCUUCCUUUGUUCUUUCAAAUCAAAGCGAGCAGGAAGUAUUAGCUGGCUUCAUCAUCAAUAUUCGACACUUAGAGGUCAAAUGCAAUGACCUCUGGGUAUUAGGUUUUUGACUGAUGGUUUCCUGUGCCUCAACGUUCAAUAAUUCACUCCACUCCAGUACACAGGUAAAAUCAUUACUGGAUUCCCCCUCUGUCUUCCGAAUUUUAACUCGAUUAGCUAUCAUCAUCUACCAUGCGUCACUCUCCACUACUGAUUUUGAAUUCGUAAAACCCUUGAGCAUUGAAUGUUACUAUAAAAGGGGGUCUUUAAUGUUCUUACCAAUACACAAUCUAACACCAACAAACCAGAGCAACCUAAAUUCUGAAAAGUCAUAAACACUAAGAAAUUAGGGUUUUUGGUAAUUAGGUCUCUUACUAUUUUUCCUCUCUUUGCCGAGUUCCUUGCUGGUUCAAGCUUGAAGGUUUUCUAGGAUCUUUGAGCAACAAAGGGAAUUCGUUUGGUCUGCUGCCCUCA
RNAcentral lists this long non-coding RNA (906 nucleotides) under Nicotiana tabacum (common tobacco). RNAcentral's name for it is "long non-coding RNA (NTAB_LNC010159)". The record is from RNAcentral. Lineage: Eukaryota; Viridiplantae; Streptophyta; Magnoliopsida; Solanales; Solanaceae.